CAGUCGAGCGGAACGAGUUAUCUGAACCUUCGGGGGACGAUAACGGCGUCGAGCGGCGGACGGGUGAGUAAUGCCUAGGAAAUUGCCCUGGUGUGGGGGAUAACCAUUGGAAACGAUGGCUAAUACCGCAUAAUACCUACGGGUCAAAGAGGGGGACCUUCGGGCCUCUCGCGUCAGGAUAUGCCUAGGUGGGAUUAGCUAGUUGGUGAGGUAAUGGCUCACCAAGGCGACGAUCCCUAGCUGGUCUGAGAGGAUGAUCAGCCACACUGGAACUGAGACACGGUCCAGACUCCUACGGGAGGCAGCAGUGGGGAAUAUUGCACAAUGGGCGCAAGCCUGAUGCAGCCAUGCCGCGUGUGUGAAGAAGGCCUUCGGGUUGUAAAGCACUUUCAGUCGUGAGGAAGGUAGUGUAGUUAAUAGCUGCAUUAUUUGACGUUAGCGACAGAAGAAGCACCGGCUAACUCCGUGCCAGCAGCCGCGGUAAUACGGAGGGUGCGAGCGUUAAUCGGAAUUACUGGGCGUAAAGCGCAUGCAGGUGGUUUGUUAAGUCAGAUGUGAAAGCCCGGGGCUCAACCUCGGAAUAGCAUUUGAAACUGGCAGACUAGAGUACUGUAGAGGGGGGUAGAAUUUCAGGUGUAGCGGUGAAAUGCGUAGAGAUCUGAAGGAAUACCGGUGGCGAAGGCGGCCCCCUGGACAGAUACUGACACUCAGAUGCGAAAGCGUGGGGAGCAAACAGGAUUAGAUACCCUGGUAGUCCACGCCGUAAACGAUGUCUACUUGGAGGUUGUGGCCUUGAGCCGUGGCUUUCGGAGCUAACGCGUUAAGUAGACCGCCUGGGGAGUACGGUCGCAAGAUUAAAACUCAAAUGAAUUGACGGGGGCCCGCACAAGCGGUGGAGCAUGUGGUUUAAU
RNAcentral lists this ribosomal RNA (911 nucleotides) under Vibrio harveyi. RNAcentral describes it as "bacterial SSU rRNA". It matches the Rfam family "Bacterial small subunit ribosomal RNA", at positions 59 to 950 of the family's 1533-position model. Lineage: Bacteria; Pseudomonadati; Pseudomonadota; Gammaproteobacteria; Vibrionales; Vibrionaceae. The record is from RNAcentral.